Neopelma chrysocephalum (saffron-crested tyrant-manakin) is the source of this 467-nucleotide long non-coding RNA. RefSeq lists it as uncharacterized. Lineage: Eukaryota; Metazoa; Chordata; Aves; Passeriformes; Pipridae. The record is from RefSeq and is a predicted model, not a curated record. The transcript has 3 exons.
GGGAGGAUGGCGGCGGGGGGGGAGGGAGCGCCGGCGCGGCGCUGAGCUAAGCCGAUCCCACGUGUGACGGAUCUGGCUGCUGCCCCAGCGCCUCUCCAGUGAGAUCCUCCGGUAGCGGAGGGAGGAGGAGGAGGAGGAGGAGGAGGAGGAGGGGGGAAGGGAAAAAAAGGGGCACAGCAAGCGGAGCGAACCGAGCCGGAGCCGGGCCGGGGGGGGCGGGUUGGGCGGGCGGGGGGGGUUCUCUCAGGGGCUCUCGCUCGGCGCGGCCAUGGAGGCGGACGGGAGCCAGGCUACCUCGGGGAGCCCCGGAGAGGCGCAGCACGACCCCGGCAAGAUGUUCAUCGGCGGCCUCAGCUGGCAAACCUCACCAGACAGCCUUAGAGACUAUUUUAGCAAAUUCGGAGAAAUUAGGGAGUGUAUGGUCAUGCGGGACCCCACCACCAAGCGCUCCAGGUAAAACCGCCGCC